This 253-nucleotide ribosomal RNA is filed under the name uncultured bacterium. RNAcentral describes it as "partial 16S ribosomal RNA". It matches the Rfam family "Bacterial small subunit ribosomal RNA", at positions 524 to 776 of the family's 1533-position model. The record is from RNAcentral.
UACGUAGGGGGCUAGCGUUGUCCGGAUUUAUUGGGCGUAAAGAGCGUGUAGGCGGCUUUGCAAGUCCGUUGUGAAAACUCGAGGCUCAACCUCGAGACGCCGGUGGAAACUGCAAAGCUAGAGUCCGGAAGAGGAGAGUGGAAUUCCUGGUGUAGCGGUGAAAUGCGCAGAUAUCAGGAAGAACACCCGUGGCGAAGGCGGCUCUCUGGGACGGUACUGACGCUGAGACGCGAAAGCCAGGGGAGCAAACGGG